AGCGAAUAGAUACCCUGGUAGUCCACGCCCUAAACGAUGUCGACUGGUUGUUGGGGGUUUGACACUCUCAGUAAACGAAAGCUAAACGCGUGAAGUCGACCGCCUGGGGAGUACGGCCGCAAGGUUAAAACUCAAAGGAAUUGACGGGGACCCGCACAAGCGGUGGAUUAUGUGGAUUAAUUCGAUGCAACGCGAAAACCUUACCUACCCUUGACAUGUCCUGAAUCCUGGAGAGAUCCGGGGGUGCCCGAAAGGGAACGGGAACACAGGUGCUGCAUGGCUGUCGUCAGCUCGUGUCGUGAGAUGUUGGGUUAAGUCCCGCAACGAGCGCAACCCUUGUCAUUAGUUGCUACCGCAAGGAGCACUCUAAUGAGACUGCCGGUGACAAACCGGAGGAAGAUGGGGAUGACGUCAAGUCCUCAUGGCCCUUAUGGGUAGGGCUUCACACGUAAUACAAUGGUCGGUACAGAGGGUUGCCAAGCCGCGAGGCGGAGCCAAUCCCAGAAAGCCGAUCGUAGUCCGGAUCGCAGUCUGCAACUCGACUGC
This 546-nucleotide ribosomal RNA is filed under the name uncultured bacterium. Its description in RNAcentral is "bacterial SSU rRNA". It matches the Rfam family "Bacterial small subunit ribosomal RNA", at positions 774 to 1319 of the family's 1533-position model. The record is from RNAcentral.